Molecule: ribosomal RNA, 330 nt
Filed under: Citrobacter koseri
Lineage: Bacteria; Pseudomonadati; Pseudomonadota; Gammaproteobacteria; Enterobacterales; Enterobacteriaceae
Also listed under: 1 other name
Description: bacterial SSU rRNA
Rfam family: Bacterial small subunit ribosomal RNA
Source: RNAcentral
CUUGAGUCUCGUAGAGGGGGGUAGAAUUCCAGGUGUAGCGGUGAAAUGCGUAGAGAUCUGGAGGAAUACCGGUGGCGAAGGCGGCCCCCUGGACGAAGACUGACGCUCAGGUGCGAAAGCGUGGGGAGCAAACAGGAUUAGAUACCCUGGUAGUCCACGCCGUAAACGAUGUCGACUUGGAGGUUGUGCCCUUGAGGCGUGGCUUCCGGAGCUAACGCGUUAAGUCGACCGCCUGGGGAGUACGGCCGCAAGGUUAAAACUCAAAUGAAUUGACGGGGGCCCGCACAAGCGGUGGAGCAUGUGGUUUAAUUCGAUGCAACGCGAAGAACC